Molecule: ribosomal RNA, 253 nt
Filed under: uncultured bacterium
Lineage: Bacteria
Description: partial 16S ribosomal RNA
Rfam family: Bacterial small subunit ribosomal RNA
Source: RNAcentral
UACGUAGGGGGCGAGCGUUGUCCGGAGUUACUGGGCGUAAAGGGCGCGCAGGCGGUCUGGCAAGUUUGGCGUGACAGUGCUCGGCUUAACUGAGCAAGGCCUUCGAAAACUGCUAGACUUGAGCACUCAAGAGGGACAUAGAAUUCCGGGUGGAGUGGUGAAAUGCGUAGAUAUCCGGAGGAAUACCAAAGGCGAAGGCAGUGUCCUGGGGAGUGUCUGACGCUCAGGCGCGAAAGCUAGGGGAGCGAACAGG